CCUACAUGAACUUUUAUAAAAGAAAGUUGUGUAUCACUACAUUAACCAAAUGCAUUGGUAGGAUCAUCAGAUGGGUGGGUUACAGGGAAAAAAAACAGAAAAAAAGAAAAAAGAAAUUUCUUCUGUCUGUUGUUAUCACAUUCUUACUUUGGUAGAUGGUGGGGACUAGAUUUCUGGUAAGGGUAAUGAUAUAUUCUGAGAAAUUUAAUAGUUUUGAGAUUGUGGUCUGAUACAGAAAUUAGGAUGAUUGGCUACUAAAUGGCUUAAGAUAGCCCAAGAUAAUUUUUGCUCUCCAUACAGAACCCUGCCUUUUUUAACCUGAUGUUGGUCUGGUUAGCCAAAGUCAAGUACUCUGAAGGUUCUUUGAUGUAGAUGCAACUUAUAGAGAACUUGAGUUCACAGCUGUAAAAAUCUUGUGCUUCUCCUUAUAUCUUCCUUAGGUGUAGACACCAUGUCAGAUUUCUUGGGCAGAGGUUCCCUUUGGACGCCUCACAGGGUCCUAUGUCCUCAGCCACUGUCCUCUCCUGGAGCUGCCACAAGGUGCCCACAGCUGCCCUGGUCCCUGCAGGGUGAACAGAACUUCAGGCCCUGAGUCAGUUCCUCCUAGAGGACACCUGAGGUGUGGGGUGCAGCCUCUCAGGGAAGCUGCUGGGGGCUCUGAGCUGAGGAAUCUCCUGGAACAGGCCUCAUCUAGACAGCUACUUCCUUGGGACCUUGUUUUUCCCAAGCUCUGUUCCCAUUCCGUGGAGAGAGGUGGCCAGUCAGCCUGUGGAUGCUGGUGCUGAGGGGCCAGGUCACCAGUGAUUCCUGCCCUUUCAAUCUCUCACAGUGUGAAGGAGCAAAACCUCUCCCAGAGCAUAAGCAACGCCCACCCCAGUGCAGAGCUGUGCAAACCUGAAAAGCCUCGUAUACUGGCGUCAUGGUCUAGGUCCCUGGGAGGGUGAUCCUAGAGGUUUUCAGGAAGCAAGACCAGGAGGGAGCAUGUCCCAGAUGUCAGGGACCUUCCCUGCCCCUUGAGCCUGACACAUGUGUGCUCCCUCAGCACCAAAGCUUUCUGUGUAUCACUUUGAAAUGAUCUGCUCACAUUUUGAGGCCCAGGUCUAUUUUUUCAGAGCCA
Molecule: long non-coding RNA, 1117 nt
Filed under: Marmota monax (woodchuck)
Lineage: Eukaryota; Metazoa; Chordata; Mammalia; Rodentia; Sciuridae
Source: RNAcentral